This 303-nucleotide ribosomal RNA is filed under the name Triticum aestivum (bread wheat). RNAcentral describes it as "partial small subunit ribosomal RNA". The record is from RNAcentral. Lineage: Eukaryota; Viridiplantae; Streptophyta; Magnoliopsida; Poales; Poaceae.
AUGGCUGGAUCACACAAUGAUAUCAACGUGCUUCAGCGCUCGCCGGUGUUUGCUAGGCUUGCCGAAGGCAACAGCCCACCGGUGAACUUUAUUGUCAACGGCCACAACUACGACAAAGGGUACAAUUUGGGUGACGGUAUCUAUCCUCAGUGGACCACUAUUGUAAAGACAAUACCCAACCCUGUUGGAGAGAAAAGAAAAAGAUUUGCCCAAGAGCAAGAGAGUGCUAAAAAGGAUGUCGAGUGUGCCUUUGGUGUUUUGCAAUCUCGAUGGGACAUCGUUCGGUAUCCUGCUAAUACUUGG